UCUACAUACAGUAACCACUGUGCAAAGCACCAGUUAUAUAAAUGACUCAAAAUUUAAAAAAUAAAUCCAGCUUCAGGUUGGUUAAUACCAGAGGACGUCCUUUCAAGCCUGCAGGUCACCGUUGGCCAAGGCGUAGCACCUGCUUAGCCCCCUGAUCAGGGUCAGGUGAAGCCAUGGGAAGAGGUGAUGGAUGGUCGUACGAGCAGCCGGUGCAGAUCACAAGUCCUGGUUAUGUGACCAUUGACGCCAGGCAGACAAUCUCUGAAAGAGUCUUGUAAAGUCACUGCCCAGGUGGAGGAAAUGUGCUGCCAGGAUAAUCAAGGAUACGACCCACCCAGUCAACACACAUUUCGUCCCUCUUCCCUCCGGGAGAAGGCUCAGGAGCUGGAAGACUCGUACGGCCAGAUUUGGGAACAGCUUCUUUCCAACUGUGAUAAGACUGCUGAACGGAUCCUGACCCGGAUCUGUGCUGUACCCACCAUAUAUCCGGACCUGCCUCUCGGGGU
Molecule: long non-coding RNA, 506 nt
Organism: Mobula hypostoma (lesser devil ray)
Lineage: Eukaryota; Metazoa; Chordata; Chondrichthyes; Myliobatiformes; Myliobatidae
Exons: 3
Source: RefSeq, a predicted model, not a curated record